Molecule: ribosomal RNA, 482 nt
Filed under: uncultured bacterium
Lineage: Bacteria
Description: partial 16S ribosomal RNA
Rfam family: Bacterial small subunit ribosomal RNA
Source: RNAcentral
AUUGAACGCUGGCGGCAGGCCUAACACAUGCAAGUCGAGCGGAUGAAGGGAGCUUGCUCCUGGAUUCAGCGGCGGACGGGUGAGUAAUGCCUAGGAAUCUGCCUGGUAGUGGGGGAUAACGUCCGGAAACGGGCGCUAAUACCGCAUACGUCCUGAGGGAGAAAGUGGGGGAUCUUCGGACCUCACGCUAUCAGAUGAGCCUAGGUCGGAUUAGCUAGUUGGUGGGGUAAAGGCCUACCAAGGCGACGAUCCGUAACUGGUCUGAGAGGAUGAUCAGUCACACUGGAACUGAGACGCGGUCCAGACUCCUACGAGAGGCAGCAGUGGAGAAUAUUGGACAAUGGGCGAAAGCCUGAUCCAGCCAUGCCGCGUGUGAAGAAGGUCUUCGGAUUGUAAAGCACUUUAAGUUGGGAGGAAGGGCAGUAAGUUAAUACCUUGCUGUUUUGACGUUACCAACAGAAUAAGCACCGGCUAACUUCGUG